This 267-nucleotide ribosomal RNA is filed under the name uncultured bacterium. Its description in RNAcentral is "partial 16S ribosomal RNA". It matches the Rfam family "Bacterial small subunit ribosomal RNA", at positions 793 to 1055 of the family's 1533-position model. The record is from RNAcentral.
GUCCUAGCCGUAAACGGUGCUUGCUUGCUGUAAGAGGAAUCCACCCCUUUUGUGGCGAAGCUAACGCGAUAAGCAAGCCGCCUGGGAAGUACGGUCGCAAGAUUAAAACUCAAAGAAAUUGACGGGGGCCUGCACAAGCGGUGGAGUAUGUGGCUUAAUUCGAUGCAACGCGAAGAACCUUACCUGGCCUUGACAUGCACAUAGUAGAAGCCUGAAAGGGUGACGAGGUAGCAAUACCAGUGUGCACAGGUGCUGCAUGGCUGUCGU